UACAGAGGGGGCAAGCGUUGUUCGGAAUUACUGGGCGUAAAGGGCGCGUAGGCGGCCCGCUAAGUCGAACGUGAAAUCCCCGGGCUUAACUCGGGAACUGCGUCUGAUACUGGAAGGCUCGAGUUCGGGAGAGGAAUGUGGAAUUCCAGGUGUAGCGGUGAAAUGCGUAGAUAUCUGGAGGAACACCGAUGGCGAAGGCAAUCCCCUGGGCCUGUACUGACGCUCAUGCACGAAAGCGUGGGGAGCGAACAGG
RNAcentral lists this ribosomal RNA (253 nucleotides) under uncultured bacterium. RNAcentral's name for it is "partial 16S ribosomal RNA". It matches the Rfam family "Bacterial small subunit ribosomal RNA", at positions 524 to 776 of the family's 1533-position model. The record is from RNAcentral.